This 24-nucleotide small nuclear RNA is filed under the name Arabidopsis thaliana (thale cress). RNAcentral describes it as "snRNA_02797". The record is from RNAcentral. Lineage: Eukaryota; Viridiplantae; Streptophyta; Magnoliopsida; Brassicales; Brassicaceae.
AAACCGCACCCAAAACCGCAUCGU